This 550-nucleotide ribosomal RNA is filed under the name bacterium BaP1-26. RNAcentral describes it as "bacterial SSU rRNA". It matches the Rfam family "Bacterial small subunit ribosomal RNA", at positions 88 to 623 of the family's 1533-position model. The record is from RNAcentral.
GAUGUUAGCGGCGGACGGGUGAGUAACACGUGGGUAACCUGCCUGUAAGACUGGGAUAACUCCGGGAAACCGGGGCUAAUACCGGAUGGUUGUUUGAACCGCAUGGUUCAAACAUAAAAGGUGGCUUCGGCUACCACUUACAGAUGGACCCGCGGCGCAUUAGCUAGUUGGUGAGGUAACGGCUCACCAAGGCAACGAUGCGUAGCCGACCUGAGAGGGUGAUCGGCCACACUGGGACUGAGACACGGCCCAGACUCCUACGGGAGGCAGCAGUAGGGAAUCUUCCGCAAUGGACGAAAGUCUGACGGAGCAACGCCGCGUGAGUGAUGAAGGUUUUCGGAUCGUAAAGCUCUGUUGUUAGGGAAGAACAAGUACCGUUCGAAUAGGGCGGUACCUUGACGGUACCUAACCAGAAAGCCACGGCUAACUACGUGCCAGCAGCCGCGGUAAUACGUAGGUGGCAAGCGUUGUCCGGAAUUAUUGGGCGUAAAGGGCUCGCAGGCGGUUUCUUAAGUCUGAUGUGAAAGCCCCCGGCUCAACCGGGGAGGGU